RNAcentral lists this ribosomal RNA (257 nucleotides) under uncultured Pseudomonas sp. Its description in RNAcentral is "partial 16S ribosomal RNA". It matches the Rfam family "Bacterial small subunit ribosomal RNA", at positions 96 to 354 of the family's 1533-position model. Lineage: Bacteria; Pseudomonadati; Pseudomonadota; Gammaproteobacteria; Pseudomonadales; Pseudomonadaceae. The record is from RNAcentral.
CGGCGGACGGGUGAGUAAUGCCUAGGAAUCUGCCUGGUAGUGGGGGACAACGUUUCGAAAGGAACGCUAAUACCGCAUACGUCCUACGGGAGAAANCGGGGGGACCUUCGGGCCUUGCGCUAUCAGAUGAGCCUAGGUCGGAUUAGCUAGUUGGUGAGGUAAUGGCUCACCAAGGCGACGAUCCGUAACUGGUCUGAGAGGAUGAUCAGUCACAUGGAACUGAGACACGGUCCAGACUCCUACGGGAGGCAGCAGAA